UCCGGUUGAUCCUGCCAGAGGUUACUGCUAUCGAGGUUCGACUAAGCCAUGCGAGUCGAAUGUAGCAAUACAUGGCGUACUGCUCAGUAACACGUGGACAACCUACCCUCAGGACGGGUAUAAACCCGGGAAACUGGGUAUAAUCCCCGAUAGAUCUCGAAUGCUGGAAUGCGUCGAGGUUUAAAGCCCCGGCGCCUGAGGAUGGGUCUGCGGCCUAUCAGGUAGUAGUGGGUGUAGCGUACCUACUAGCCUACGACGGGUACGGGUUGUGAGAGCAAGAGCCCGGAGAUGGAUUCUGAGACACGAAUCCAGGCCCUACGGGGUGCAGCAGGCGCGAAAACUUUACAAUGCCGGCAACGGCGAUAAGGGGACCUCGAGUGCCAGGUUACAAAUCUGGCUGUCGUGAUGCCUAAAAAGCAUUGCAUAGCAAGGGCCGGGCAAGACCGGUGCCAGCCGCCGCGGUAACACCGGCGGCUCGAGUGGUAACCGUUAUUAUUGGGUCUAAAGGGUCUGUAGCCGGCCGGAUAAGUCUCUUGGGAAAUCUGGCAGCUCAACUGUCAGGCUUUCAGGAGAUACUGUCUGGCUCGAGGCCGGGAGAGGUGAGAGGUACUUCAGGGGUAGGGGUGAAAUCUUGUAAUCCUUGAAGGACCACCAGUGGCGAAGGCGUCUCACCAGAACGGACCUGACGGCAAGGGACGAAAGCUAGGGGCACGAACCGGAUUAGAUACCCGGGUAGUCCUAGCCGUAAACGAUACUCGCUAGGUGUCGGCCACGGUGCGACCGUUGUCGGUGCCGUAGGGAAGCCGUGAAGCGAGCCACCUGGGAAGUACGGCCGCAAGGCUGAAACUUAAAGGAAUUGGCGGGGGAGCA
Molecule: ribosomal RNA, 870 nt
Filed under: uncultured Methanosaeta sp.
Lineage: Archaea; Methanobacteriati; Methanobacteriota; Methanomicrobia; Methanotrichales; Methanotrichaceae
Description: bacterial SSU rRNA
Rfam family: Archaeal small subunit ribosomal RNA
Source: RNAcentral